Molecule: long non-coding RNA, 233 nt
Organism: Hibiscus syriacus
Lineage: Eukaryota; Viridiplantae; Streptophyta; Magnoliopsida; Malvales; Malvaceae
Exons: 3
Source: RefSeq, a predicted model, not a curated record
AAGCUUUUUCCUCGCAGAAACAGUGAAAUAUGUGGCUCCUUUUUGACUUGGCUGUGGGUCCUGACAACCUUGUUGAAAGUGGACCGUACAAGUACAUAUUUAGCACCGAGGGCCACUUGUUGCCUGCGACUCCUCAAAUAUCCUUAUUACAAGAGCAUUGUUCAUAUUUUGGGGCUUAUUGUAACCGUGGCUACUUAAAAGAAGAGUUUCGUGCGUCAGACAAGUUUGCUGAU